This 253-nucleotide ribosomal RNA is filed under the name uncultured bacterium. Its description in RNAcentral is "partial 16S ribosomal RNA". It matches the Rfam family "Bacterial small subunit ribosomal RNA", at positions 524 to 776 of the family's 1533-position model. The record is from RNAcentral.
UACGUAGGGUGCGAGCGUUAAUCGGAAUUACUGGGCGUAAAGCGUGCGCAGGCGGUUUUGUAAGGCAGAUGUGAAAUCCCCGGGCUCAACCUGGGAACUGCAUUUGUGACUGCACAGCUGGAGUGCGGCAGAGGGGGAUGGAAUUCCGCGUGUAGCAGUGAAAUGCGUAGAUAUGCGGAGGAACACCGAUGGCGAAGGCAAUCCCCUGGGCCUGCACUGACGCUCAUGCACGAAAGCGUGGGGAGCAAACAGG